GGUUGAGCAUUUUUUAUGCUUCAAGGAUCAGGUUUGCCAAGGGGUGAGGCAAAC
Molecule: regulatory RNA element, 54 nt
Organism: Enterococcus casseliflavus EC20
Lineage: Bacteria; Bacillati; Bacillota; Bacilli; Lactobacillales; Enterococcaceae
Rfam family: Na+ riboswitch aptamer (DUF1646)
About the family: Proteobacteria, NC10, Acidobacteria, Verrucomicrobia. Lineage (Clostridia) The riboswitch of Na+ was first reported in a comparative analysis of intergenic regions and called DUF1646 RNA, it was also suggested that it acts as cis-reg RNA present upstream of Na+ genes.
Source: Rfam